This 125-nucleotide microRNA precursor is filed under the name Daucus carota subsp. sativus. Its description in RNAcentral is "sRNA DCAR_mi00075". Lineage: Eukaryota; Viridiplantae; Streptophyta; Magnoliopsida; Apiales; Apiaceae. The record is from RNAcentral.
UAAUACCCUUAUUGAUGGGUUCUGCAAGAAUGACAAAAUUGAAGAAGCAGAGGAAAUCUUUGAUCAGAUGGAACUCCAUGGUGUUUCAAGAAAUGUAAGAACCUACAACACCCUUAUCAAUGGCC